CGGGAAGGGCUAGGUCGAGGGGUGGGGAGGGUGCGACUGCACCCACGGGACCCAGAUGGGAGCCUGGAAGUAGAUUGAGCCUGAGGAGCAUUGCCAGAGGAGCUCCGCUGUAGCCAGGGGCUGUGCUUGGCAGUGAGAAUCCAGCACUCCCAGGCAGCAGUGGCCUCCCAUCCCUUCCACGGGGCUGUGCUUGGGAGCAACCUCACUGGGACCAGAGCAGCUGUGUGUUUGCCCAGCACACAAGCACCAUCUCUGGGGGGCUUUCGUGUGCUGGAUUUCCACCCUCCAGUCUGCUUGCGGCUCUCCUGCCCCUGCGGUGUGGGAGGUGGCAGGUUUGUUCCCAUGGCCACAGCAGGCGCUCUGGCAAAAUGUGGCAGGGGCAGUGCCACAACUGUUGGGCACAGUUAAUCUCCAGCACGGUUCUUGGAGUAGAGGACAGCCCUGACAUUUGUGUUUGUGCUUCAGUAGCACGGAGAAGGUCCUCUGAGGGAUCUGUUUGCACCCAAGGCAAGGAUGGGACCUGCCCCACAACUCCCAAUUAGAGCCGAUCCAAGAAAGAAAAAGGACUGUGUGACUGCUGUGAUGAGCUGCAGUUACAGCAGCCAACGGCCUAGUCAUUGUGUGCAUCAUGACUAAGUGUUUCUGAGAUGCUGGGAGGAUAAUAUGGCUUUGUGGCUGUGCUGGGAGCUCCUUCCAUGCGUGAGGGUGACAUGGCAGAAAGCUCAGGGGGAAAUUUGAUAAGUGAGCCAUCAAGGCAGCAUUGUUGGCAAGGCAGAGGCAGGGACUCAUGGCUCAGUGCCACACGCAAGGCUAGGAAGUGCAAGGAGCAAUUGUGAGGACUUCAAAGUCAAAUGGUGGGCUUGUGCAUUUUGGGGAGUGGCUCUAGGCUUUUGUAUUUUGGGGAAUGCGCCCUAGGCAGCAGAGGGGCCAAGCUGGGACCAGGAUGUGGGCAGAAGUCAUCCAAGGGGUCCCCAAAGCCACUGUGAUCUUGCCCUCUUGCAGUAUGUGUUCUGUGACGCUGCACAGUCUUGCAUCCGGUCACACAGGCCUGGAGCUGCCUGGCUUGUUUUUUCUGUUUGCUAUCCUCUAGCCACAGCGUGCCAACCCAAACUGAUAGUGGGACUGAAGAUUGGUGCUGCCAGAGUUCCUGUCUCACAUGUCAGGUCUUCCAGUAAUCCAGACUCCCUGAUUUUGUCCCAGGAAACAAGCACAGAGCCAUACCCUGCGCCGGUGUGACUGCAGCUUGCUCCACCCUCCCUGGGACCUCCUGAGCACAUCAGGGCACCUCGCUUUUUGCUCCCCAGUAACGUGGCCCAAUCCAUAUUGAAUGAAAGCUCCAAGCAUGACCUUGGGUCAUCGUAGACCCGUGAUUCUCAAGCAGCUGCUGCAGCACCCUGAGGUGCUGUGAGCAUGGUCUGAAGCUGUCAUGGAUGCUGCAUAGCAUUAAUACUGUGAGGUAUGCAAACACCUAUGUGUGUUCACAAGAUAAGCAAGGGAAUUUCAAACAGGAAUCCAAAGUGUCACAAGCAUUCUGACUGCUGCAGUUUUCCUAAGUUCUUCGCAGCAUAAGGAUUGCUCCUGUGUUUUUCCCGCAGUCAAAAAUCAAACGAAAGCCAAGAGCUGGCAAUUUUCUGAGGGGACCUUGAGUCUAGAAACAUUGAGAGCUACUGGUUUAGGACAUCUCCCUCGCCAACCCACUCCGUUGCUGUUCUGAGGUCCUUGCCUUGAAACCCACAAGGGUGGCUUCAAAAAUAGGAAAAGCGCAAGAUCGCAGAGGCAGCUUUGAAGAGCCUGUUUCAACCCUGCAGUGGGACAACACUGGAGGUGAAGAUGACGAACUGCCUACGCACUCCUGCUGUGAAUGACGAUCCAGCCUCCAGCACUCUCACACUUCUUGCUCACACGUUCAGAUCAUCACUGUCAGCAUUUCUUCAGAUAUUCCUGGACCUUUUCUUAAGGAAAAAGCUAAGGUUCAUUUGAUUUGCCCUGGUCUGGUAAAGAUAACUGUGACAAAAAGGUUGUCUUUGAUUCCAUGAAUAGUACACUUGCUUGAGUUAAAUAUUAAGAGAAGAAGUCAUCCAAAAUGUAUGCAGAUCAGACCUAUUUCCCCUAUUUCAUCAGUGUACUCACACGUGCUGGGCCAAUGGCAUUCAAGAAAACAAUAACCAAAUACAUCAGAAAUUAAAAAGAUCAGAA
Long non-coding RNA from Gavialis gangeticus (Gharial), 2196 nucleotides. RefSeq lists it as uncharacterized. NCBI's taxonomy places the organism in Eukaryota, Metazoa, Chordata, Crocodylia, Gavialidae. The transcript is spliced from 2 exons. The record is from RefSeq and is a predicted model, not a curated record.